UUCAGCUGUAAGACCCUGCAUUCAGAGUGAAGCAGAAGGGCAGCACAGCCUCAAAUACCAGCACAUAUAUCUACAUUUUUUUCAAUUCUAGAGCUUCCCCCAGGUGAAUGAGCCCCUUGUCUCAUCCACCACAGGCUUCAGGUAUGCUUCUGCCACUGCUGGAUUUGGGAAACCUGAAGAAAGCUGCAGCUCCCGCAAUUUCUUCUUGACUCUGGUAUCACGUGGAUUAGGUUCAUCAAGUCUCUUUUCUCUAUGGGCAAGCUACAGCACCUUCUCACAUGCUCAGGAAGAAACAACCUUGACUCCACUAGGGAUCCAGCUCUGCAAUGAACUUGGAGGCAGUUGCACAGUUUUAAAGCUGCUCUAUUUCUUCACUAGUCUUGCUGUAAUUGCUGCAUCAACACAUCGUUUUGAUUACCUGCCAUUUCAAGUACCGAUACAACGGAGUUACAUAUUUUAUA
Non-coding RNA from Meleagris gallopavo (turkey), 461 nucleotides. The record is from RefSeq and is a predicted model, not a curated record. Lineage: Eukaryota; Metazoa; Chordata; Aves; Galliformes; Phasianidae.